UUUCCGUAGGUGAACCUGCGGAAGGAUCAUAAUUGUAUAACCGAGGUGCGAGGGCUGUCGCUGACCCGAAAGGUCGUGCACGCCCGAGUGCCCUCACACACAUCCAUCUCACCCCUAUGUGCACCACCGCGUGGGUCCCCCUUUGGCUUGUUCGGAGGGGGGCUUACGUUUUCACACAAACUUUGUAUGCAGUGUAGAAUGUAUUUUUUUGCUUUUGCGAUCACGCAAUCAAUACAACUUUCAACAACGGAUCUCUUGGCUCUC
RNAcentral lists this unclassified non-coding RNA (264 nucleotides) under plant metagenome. RNAcentral describes it as "partial contains small subunit ribosomal RNA, internal transcribed spacer 1, and 5.8S ribosomal RNA". The record is from RNAcentral.